Molecule: ribosomal RNA, 253 nt
Filed under: uncultured bacterium
Lineage: Bacteria
Description: partial 16S ribosomal RNA
Rfam family: Bacterial small subunit ribosomal RNA
Source: RNAcentral
GACGAACCGUGCGAACGUUGUUCGGAAUCACUGGGCUUAAAGGGCGCGUAGGCGGCCUGCCAAGUCAGGGGUGAAAGCCCCCAGCUCAACUGGGGAAGUGCCUUUGAUACUGGCGGGCUUGAGCGAGGUAGGGGUCGUGGGAACUUCCGGUGGAGCGGUGAAAUGCGUUGAUAUCGGAAGGAACGCCGGUGGCGAAAGCGCACGACUGGACCUCUCCUGACGCUGAGGCGCGAAAGCCAGGGGAGCGAACGGG